Molecule: transfer RNA, 75 nt
Filed under: Ichthyobacterium seriolicida
Lineage: Bacteria; Pseudomonadati; Bacteroidota; Flavobacteriia; Flavobacteriales; Ichthyobacteriaceae
Description: bacterium JBKA-6 tRNA
Rfam family: tRNA
About the family: Transfer RNA (tRNA) molecules are approximately 80 nucleotides in length.
Source: Rfam by way of RNAcentral
GGGCGAUUAGCUCAGUUGGUUCAGAGCAUCUGCCUUACAAGCAGAGGGUCAUAGGUUCGAAUCCUAUAUCGCCCA